Molecule: ribosomal RNA, 1551 nt
Filed under: Salmonella enterica subsp. enterica serovar Dublin
Lineage: Bacteria; Pseudomonadati; Pseudomonadota; Gammaproteobacteria; Enterobacterales; Enterobacteriaceae
Description: bacterial LSU rRNA
Rfam family: Bacterial large subunit ribosomal RNA
Source: RNAcentral
GGUAUCAGAAGUGCGAAUGCUGACAUAAGUAACGAUAAAGCGGGUGAAAAGCCCGCUCGCCGGAAGACCAAGGGUUCCUGUCCAACGUUAAUCGGGGCAGGGUGAGUCGACCCCUAAGGCGAGGCCGAAAGGCGUAGUCGAUGGGAAACGGGUUAAUAUUCCCGUACUUGGUGUUACUGCGAAGGGGGGACGGAGAAGGCUAUGUUGGCCGGGCGACGGUUGUCCCGGUUUAAGCGUGUAGGUGUGUGUUCCAGGUAAAUCCGGUUCACUUUAACACUGAGGCGUGAUGACGAGGCACUACGGUGCUGAAGUAACAAAUGCCCUGCUUCCAGGAAAAGCCUCUAAGCAUCAGGUAACAUCAAAUCGUACCCCAAACCGACACAGGUGGUCAGGUAGAGAAUACCAAGGCGCUUGAGAGAACUCGGGUGAAGGAACUAGGCAAAAUGGUGCCGUAACUUCGGGAGAAGGCACGCUGACACGUAGGUGAAGUGAUUUACUCAUGGAGCUGAAGUCAGUCGAAGAUACCAGCUGGCUGCAACUGUUUAUUAAAAACACAGCACUGUGCAAACACGAAAGUGGACGUAUACGGUGUGACGCCUGCCCGGUGCCGGAAGGUUAAUUGAUGGGGUCAGCGCAAGCGAAGCUCCUGAUCGAAGCCCCGGUAAACGGCGGCCGUAACUAUAACGGUCCUAAGGUAGCGAAAUUCCUUGUCGGGUAAGUUCCGACCUGCACGAAUGGCGUAAUGAUGGCCAGGCUGUCUCCACCCGAGACUCAGUGAAAUUGAACUCGCUGUGAAGAUGCAGUGUACCCGCGGCAAGACGGAAAGACCCCGUGAACCUUUACUAUAGCUUGACACUGAACAUUGAGCCUUGAUGUGUAGGAUAGGUGGGAGGCUUUGAAGUGUGGACGCCAGUCUGCAUGGAGCCGACCUUGAAAUACCACCCUUUAAUGUUUGAUGUUCUAACGUGGACCCGUUACCCGGGUUGCGGACAGUGUCUGGUGGGUAGUUUGACUGGGGCGGUCUCCUCCUAAAGAGUAACGGAGGAGCACGAAGGUUGGCUAAUCCUGGUCGGACAUCAGGAGGUUAGUGCAAUGGCAUAAGCCAGCUUGACUGCGAGCGUGACGGCGCGAGCAGGUGCGAAAGCAGGUCAUAGUGAUCCGGUGGUUCUGAAUGGAAGGGCCAUCGCUCAACGGAUAAAAGGUACUCCGGGGAUAACAGGCUGAUACCGCCCAAGAGUUCAUAUCGACGGCGGUGUUUGGCACCUCGAUGUCGGCUCAUCACAUCCUGGGGCUGAAGUAGGUCCCAAGGGUAUGGCUGUUCGCCAUUUAAAGUGGUACGCGAGCUGGGUUUAGAACGUCGUGAGACAGUUCGGUCCCUAUCUGCCGUGGGCGCUGGAGAACUGAGGGGGGCUGCUCCUAGUACGAGAGGACCGGAGUGGACGCAUCACUGGUGUUCGGGUUGUCAUGCCAAUGGCACUGCCCGGUAGCUAAAUGCGGAAGAGAUAAGUGCUGAAAGCAUCUAAGCACGAAACUUGCCCCGAGAUGAGUUCU